CCAGACUCCUACGGGAGGCAGCAGUGAGGAAUAUUGGUCAAUGGACGAGAGUCUGAACCAGCCAAGUAGCGUGCAGGAUGACGGCCCUAUGGGUUGUAAACUGCUUUUAUGCGGGGAUAAAGUGAGGGACGUGUCCCUCAUUGCAGGUACCGCAUGAAUAAGGACCGGCUAAUUCCGUGCCAGCAGCCGCGGUAAUACGGAAGGUCCGGGCGUUAUCCGGAUUUAUUGGGUUUAAAGGGAGCGUAGGCCGCAGGUUAAGUGUGUUGUGAAAAGCAGUCGCCCAACGUCUGCCUUGCAGCGCAAACUGUCCUGCUUGAGUGCGCACAACGCAGGCGGAAUUCGUCGUGUAGCGGUGAAAUGCUUAGAUAUGACGAAGAACUCCGAUUGCGAAGGCAGCUUGCGGGAGCGCAACUGACGCUGAAGCUCGAAAGUGCGGGUAUCGAACAGGAUUAGAUACCCUGGUAGUCCGCACGGUAAACGCUGGAUGCCCGUUUUUGGCUUAUUUUAAGUCAGAGACCAAGCGAAAGCAUUAAGCAUCCCACCUGGGGAGUACGCCGGCAACGGUGAAACUCAAAGGAAUUGACGGGGGCCCGCACAAG
RNAcentral lists this ribosomal RNA (599 nucleotides) under uncultured bacterium. RNAcentral's name for it is "bacterial SSU rRNA". It matches the Rfam family "Bacterial small subunit ribosomal RNA", at positions 331 to 929 of the family's 1533-position model. The record is from RNAcentral.